GACGAACGCUGGCGGCGUGCUUAACACAUGCAAGUCGAACGGAAAGGCCCUGCUUUUGUGGGGUGCUCGAGUGGCGAACGGGUGAGUAACACGUGAGUAACCUGCCCUUGACUUUGGGAUAACUUCAGGAAACUGGGGCUAAUACCGGAUAGGAGCUCCUGCUGCAUGGUGGGGGUUGGAAAGUUUCGGCGGUUGGGGAUGGACUCGCGGCUUAUCAGCUUGUUGGUGGGGUAGUGGCUUACCAAGGCUUUGACGGGUAGCCGGCCUGAGAGGGUGACCGGCCACAUUGGGACUGAGAUACGGCCCAGACUCCUACGGGAGGCAGCAGUGGGGAAUAUUGCACAAUGGGCGGAAGCCUGAUGCAGCAACGCCGCGUGCGGGAUGACGGCCUUCGGGUUGUAAACCGCUUUCGCCUGUGACGAAGCGUGAGUGACGGUAAUGGGUAAAGAAGCACCGGCUAACUACGUGCCAGCAGCCGCGGUGAUACGUAGGGUGCGAGCGUUGUCCGGAUUUAUUGGGCGUAAAGGGCUCGUAGGUGGUUGAUCGCGUCGGAAGUGUAAUCUUGGGGCUUAACCCUGAGCGUGCUUUCGAUACGGGUUGACUUGAGGAAGGUAGGGGAGAAUGGAAUUCCUGGUGGAGCGGUGGAAUGCGCAGAUAUCAGGAGGAACACCAGUGGCGAAGGCGGUUCUCUGGGCCUUUCCUGACGCUGAGGAGCGAAAGCGUGGGGAGCGAACAGGCUUAGAUACCCUGGUAGUCCACGCUGUAAACGGUGGGUACUAGGUGUGGGGUCCAUUCCACGGGUUCCGUGCCGUAGCUAACGCUUUAAGUACCCCGCCUGGGGAGUACGGCCGCAAGGCUAAAACUCAAAGGAAUUGACGGGGCCCCGCACAAGCGGCGGAGCAUGCGGAUUAAUUCGAUGCAACGCGUAGAACCUUACCUGGGUUUGACAUGGAUCGGGAGUGCUCAGAGAUGGGUGUGCCUCUUUUGGGGUCGGUUCACAGGUGGUGCAUGGCUGUCGUCAGCUCGUGUCGUGAGAUGUUGGGUUAAGUCCCGCAACGAGCGCAACCCUUGUUCACUGUUGCCAGCACGUUAUGGUGGGGACUCAGUGGAGACCGCCGGGGUCAACUCGGAGGAAGGUGGGGAUGACGUCAAGUCAUCAUGCCCCUUAUGUCCAGGGCUUCACGCAUGCUACAAUGGCUGGUACAGAGAGUGGCGAGCCUGUGAGGGUGAGCGAAUCUCGGAAAGCCGGUCUCAGUUCGGAUUGGGGUCUGCAACUCGACCUCAUGAAGUCGGAGCCGCUAGUAAUCGCAGAUCAGCAACGCUGCGGUGAAUACGUUCCCGGGGC
This 1345-nucleotide ribosomal RNA is filed under the name uncultured bacterium. RNAcentral's name for it is "partial 16S ribosomal RNA". It matches the Rfam family "Bacterial small subunit ribosomal RNA", at positions 28 to 1380 of the family's 1533-position model. The record is from RNAcentral.